Cervus elaphus (red deer) is the source of this 1096-nucleotide long non-coding RNA. RefSeq lists it as uncharacterized. The transcript has 5 exons. The record is from RefSeq and is a predicted model, not a curated record. Lineage: Eukaryota; Metazoa; Chordata; Mammalia; Artiodactyla; Cervidae.
UGGCACAGAGACCUUGGUCACUAAGACCCUUUGAGAUCUUCAUCGUCUGCUGGCUGAAUGCUGCUGAUGGUGAGGUCAGGGAUGGAGGAGCCACAGAUGCUGAACCUGGGUCUCUGAAUAACUGUAUGGAGCUGACCCAUGGCCUGGAGCAAUGUUUCUAGCAUUGAGCUGUGACCUGGUCACUUUGUUACCGCCGUCAGCUUGCAAAACAGAUGGUGAUCUUCUCAUCCUUCAUUUGCACUAUUGUAGUCACCCUCUUCUGACGUAUCUCCACCUGCUUCUUCCCCUUCUAGUAGCCGUGACCCCGGAAUGAUCCUCUGAAUCACACUUAAGGGCAACUUCCUACUUUGAAGCCAUCAGGAAUUCAACACCCGUGGCCACUGUUUCACGGAGGAGCUCUUCUUCCCUCCCAAUCAGCCCAGGCUUCCAUGGGAACAAGCCCUGCAGGAGCAAGCAUUUAUCCUGUGCAUCAUAAACGCUCAUGUUCCAUGGGCUCAGAGCCAAGGUCAGAGAGACAGAUCCAUAUGGGAUGGGUACCGGGAACUGUGACUCGCUGUGGACCGUUAUGGAAACAAUCCAAUGCAUUGGUGAUAAAAGAGGGAAAAAGUGCAGGAGGACAGUCAUUAAGGGGCUAAAUUGGUUGUUGCGGUUACUGCCGAUGAUGACAGUCCUCCCAGUGACCCAGCUUUGCCUCUGGCUGCUGAGAAGGGGACCGGGCUGCUGGGCUCUGCUUGAGGACUUUGGGAAAGCAGUGAGGCUGCUACCACCUUGAACAGUCUAAGUAAUUUACAUCACCUGAAAACCAGCAUCACGGAAAGUGGCAAAAAAGAAGCAAGAAGGUGUCCAGUUUCCCCAUUCAUGAAGUCAGCAACUGGAUAUUGAAUAGAGUUCUCUAUGCUACCCAGUAGGCCCUUGUUGUUUAUCCAUCACAUAUAUGAGUUUACAUCUGCUAAUCCCAAACUCCUGGUUGAUUUGCAUCCCUGAAGACCAAGCAAGGAGAUCAAACCAGUCAAUCCUAAAGGAAAUCAACCCUGAAUACUCACAGAAGGACUGAAGCUGAAGCUCCAGUACUUUGGCCACCUGAUGCAAAGAGGCA